AUUGAACGCUGGCGGCAGGCCUAACACAUGCAAGUCGAACGGUAACAGGAAGAAGCUUGCUUCUUUGCUGACGAGUGGCGGACGGGUGAGUAAUGUCUGGGAAACUGCCUGAUGGAGGGGGAUAACUACUGGAAACGGUAGCUAAUACCGCAUAACGUCGCAAGACCAAAGAGGGGGACCUUCGGGCCUCUUGCCAUCGGAUGUGCCCAGAUGGGAUUAGCUAGUAGGUGGGGUAACGGCUCACCUAGGCGACGAUCCCUAGCUGGUCUGAGAGGAUGACCAGCCACACUGGAGCUGAGACACGGUCCAGACUCCUACGGGAGGCAGCAGUGGGGAAUAUUGCACAAUGGGCGCAAGCCUGAUGCAGCCAUGCCGCGUGUAUGAAGAAGGCCUUCGGGUUGUAAAGUACUUUCAGCGGGGAGGAAGGGAGUAAAGUUAAUACCUUUACUCAUUGACGUUACCCGCAGAAGAAGCACCGGCUAACUACGUG
This 490-nucleotide ribosomal RNA is filed under the name uncultured bacterium. Its description in RNAcentral is "partial 16S ribosomal RNA". It matches the Rfam family "Bacterial small subunit ribosomal RNA", at positions 30 to 507 of the family's 1533-position model. The record is from RNAcentral.